AUGCACGCUGGCGGCGUGCCUCAUCCCUGCAAGUCGAGCGAACGGACGAGAAGCUUGCUUUUCUGAUGUUAGCGGCGGACGGGUGAGUAACACGUGGAUAACCUACCUAUAAGACUGGGAUAACUUCGGGAAACCGGAGCUAAUACCGGAUAAUAUUUUGAACCGCAUGGUUCAAAAGUGAAAGACGGUCUUGCUGUCACUUAUAGAUGGAUCCGCGCUGCAUUAGCUAGUUGGUAAGGUAACGGCUUACCAAGGCAACGAUGCAUAGCCGACCUGAGAGGGUGAUCGGCCACACUGGAACUGAGACACGGUCCAGACUCCUACGGGAGGCAGCAGUAGGGAAUCUUCCGCAAUGGGCGAAAGCCUGACGGAGCAACGCCGCGUGAGUGAUGAAGGUCUUCGGAUCGUAAAACUCUGUUAUUAGGGAAGAACAUAUGUGUAAGUAACUGUGCACAUCUGGACGGGACCGAAUCAGAAAGCCACGGCUAACUACGU
Molecule: ribosomal RNA, 495 nt
Filed under: uncultured bacterium
Lineage: Bacteria
Description: partial 16S ribosomal RNA
Rfam family: Bacterial small subunit ribosomal RNA
Source: RNAcentral